GAUGAACGCUGGCGGCGUGCCUAAUACAUGCAAGUCGAGCGAACAGACGAGGAGCUUGCUCCUCUGACGUUAGCGGCGGACGCGUGAGUAACACGUGGAUAACCUACCUAUAAGACUGGGAUAACUUCGGGAAACCGGAGCUAAUACCGGAUAAUAUAUUGAACCGCAUGGUUCAAUAGUGAAAGACGGUUUUGCUGUCACUUAUAGAUGGAUCCGCGCCGCAUUAGCUAGUUGGUAAGGUAACGGCUUACCAAGGCAACGAUGCGUAGCCGACCUGAGAGGGUGAUCGGCCACACUGGAACUGAGACACGGUCCAGACUCCUACGGGAGGCAGCAGUAGGGAAUCUUCCGCAAUGGGCGAAAGCCUGACGGAGCAACGCCGCGUGAGUGAUGAAGGUCUUCGGAUCGUAAAACUCUGUUAUUAGGGAAGAACAAAUGUGUAAGUAACUAUGCACGUCUUGACGGUACCUAAUCAGAAAGCCACGGCUAACUACGUG
This 497-nucleotide ribosomal RNA is filed under the name uncultured bacterium. Its description in RNAcentral is "partial 16S ribosomal RNA". It matches the Rfam family "Bacterial small subunit ribosomal RNA", at positions 28 to 507 of the family's 1533-position model. The record is from RNAcentral.